GCCCUCGUAGCUCAGCCGGUAGAGCGUGCGGCUGUUAACCGCAAGGUCGGCAGUUCGAGUCUGCCCGGGGGCG
Molecule: transfer RNA, 73 nt
Filed under: Nanobdellota archaeon
Lineage: Archaea; Nanobdellati; Nanobdellota
Also listed under: 1 other name
Description: tRNA-Asn
Rfam family: tRNA
About the family: Transfer RNA (tRNA) molecules are approximately 80 nucleotides in length. Their secondary structure includes four short double-helical elements and three loops (D, anti-codon, and T loops).
Source: RNAcentral